The sequence is a transfer RNA, 73 nucleotides long. It matches the Rfam family "tRNA". Rfam says of the family: Transfer RNA (tRNA) molecules are approximately 80 nucleotides in length. Their secondary structure includes four short double-helical elements and three loops (D, anti-codon, and T loops).
GCCCUUGUAGCUCAGUGGCAGUAGCGCCAGUUUCGUAAACUGGAGGUCGAGGGUUCAACUCCCUCCAAGGGCU